CACACUCACACACCGUAUUGCUUAGCCAGCCAUAAUCGUGGCAAGGAUGAGAAGUAGUUUGAGAAACGAAACACUUGAAGCGGUCGGGAAUCGACGUAUCAAACCCUCAUCAACACCGUCUCGCGAAGCCAAUAAACGCACUAUUCAGCGCAGCGGACCUCUGUGAGAACACCCGCCUCAUUCCACCGGUGUUUCGUGACAGGGUCGGAAUGUUCUUGUGUGCACACUUUGCAGGCGGCGUCGAUUAACGGCAACGUUAAAGAGCAACACCGAGAAGAAACGCAUCUUCUUCAAAACGGUGCUUUUCGUUUUUCUGAGCGUUAUUUAAAAUAUUGGAGGGAUUUAGGGAAAGGUUAUCUCACCUGGAACACUUUCACAGUACAUAACGUUUACACGCAAAUAAGUUGUGCACGAUCUUUUGCCAAUCGCUAAAAAUUGAUGCUUUAUCUGUAGUACGAACAUGGAAACAACUGGGGUAGGUGAGAGAAAAUCCUGGGAAGAAAUUAGUGACUAUAACUGUUGUUUUGUUGCCAAAAGACGAGACUGCCAGCAGUAGGGAAGUGCUGCAACAGUUUGUGGAAAUAACAGAAUUUCUCAGCCAUCAUCGUUUCUCAGGGUUGAAUAAGAUGCGAGACUGGCGCUGUCUUGAGGAGCGGCAGAAAUCAGCACAGAGGCACAUCGCUUGAUAACUGAACACUUCAUAACCGCCAGUGGAUUCCAAGAUCAGCCCUGCAAAAAUAGUGAGGAAACAGCCAUGUCCACACCAUGGGAUUUUAAACCAUUUCACCAACAGCUUCAGCAAACUGUUUCAAACGUUUCUCGGUCUCAAUGAAAACUGGGCUUAUCUUAAAAGCAAAUCUGCUGCGUGAACCUUAAGAAACUGGAGAGCGACUGCACGGUUUACACAGUCACUCUCCUUGGAAAUUUCUGUUGUGAAGACAAUCAGCCUUGAAAACGUUUUACGUCUUUUCUGCCACCAUCAUCGUUUUUUUUGUGUCUGUGUCAACGGUUUAUUAUACAUUCUCAAUACACACCUAAAAUAGGUGUAGAUAGGGCGUACAUUUUAUAUCCAACAUGACGGAUGACUCUAUUCAUAUCUGAUCUCUUUGAACUAUUUUAAAUUUGCACGCAGGAUUAUCCAUUUGGUAAUUCUUCACAUGCUGAAUGAGGAAACACACAUUCAGUUUAGUUCAGUAAUGUAUAGGCCAUGAAUGAAAUACUGAACAAAAUCAAAAUGAUUCCUCACCAUACUACCCUCAAAAGAGUUCAACAUUCGGAGUAGUCCUGUUAACACAUAAACAAGUGCAGUAGAACAAGAUUAUUUUCUGAGGUUAUUAUUAUUAUUUUUUCACCAAGUGUAUGGAAAUUGUUUAUACUUGUUAAUAAUAGUAAACAUUCAGGGAGCAUUACAGGUCAGGGAAAUCUGCUUAAAGACUAAGUGCCAUUGCUGAAUGUAAGGAGUGUCCAAA
This is a long non-coding RNA of Sinocyclocheilus rhinocerous, 1469 nucleotides long. RefSeq lists it as uncharacterized. The transcript is spliced from 2 exons. Lineage: Eukaryota; Metazoa; Chordata; Actinopteri; Cypriniformes; Cyprinidae. The record is from RefSeq and is a predicted model, not a curated record.